Molecule: ribosomal RNA, 305 nt
Filed under: uncultured bacterium
Lineage: Bacteria
Description: bacterial SSU rRNA
Rfam family: Bacterial small subunit ribosomal RNA
Source: RNAcentral
GAUCCUACGGGGGGCAGCAGUAGGGAAUCUUCCACAAUGGGGGGAACCCUGACGCAGCAACGCCGCGUGCAGGAAGAAGGUCUUCGGAUUGUAAACUGUUGUCGCAGGGGAAGAAGACAGUGACGGUACCCUGUGAGAAAGUCACGGCUAACUACGUGCCAGCAGCCGCAGUAAUACGUAGGUGACAAGCGUUGUCCGGAUUUACUGGGUGUAAAGGGCGCGUAGGCGGAUGUGCAAGUCAGUCGUGAAAUACCGGGGCUCAACCCCGGGGCUGCGAUUGAAACUGCACACCUUGAGUAUCGGAG